UGCUCAGCUCAGGUUUUGUUUAGAUCCUA
Molecule: non-coding RNA, 29 nt
Filed under: Mus musculus (house mouse)
Lineage: Eukaryota; Metazoa; Chordata; Mammalia; Rodentia; Muridae
Source: RNAcentral